Molecule: transfer RNA, 71 nt
Filed under: Metavelifer multiradiatus
Lineage: Eukaryota; Metazoa; Chordata; Actinopteri; Lampriformes; Veliferidae
Description: tRNA-Pro
Rfam family: tRNA
About the family: Transfer RNA (tRNA) molecules are approximately 80 nucleotides in length.
Source: RNAcentral
CAGAGGGUAGUUUUAUUUUAGAAUUCUAGCUUUGGGAGCUAGGGGUGGGAGUUUGAUUCUCCUCUCUCUGA